GAUGAACGCUGGCGGCGUGCCUAAUACAUGCAAGUCGAGCGAACAGACGAGGAGCUUGCUCCUCUGACGUUAGCGGCGGACGGGUGAGUAACACGUGGAUAACCUACCUAUAAGACUGGGAUAACUUCGGGAAACCGGAGCUAAUACCGGAUAACAUGUUGAACCGCAUGGUUCAACAGUGAAAGACGGUCUUUCUGUCACUUAUAGAUGGAUCCGCGCCGCAUUAGCUAGUUGGUAAGGUAACGGCUUACCAAGGCAACGAUGCGUAGCCGACCUGAGAGGGUGAUCGGCCACACUGGAACUGAGACACGGUCAAGACUCCUACGGGAGGCAGCAGUAGGGAAUCUUCCGCAAUGGGCGAAAGCCUGACGGAGCAACGCCGCGUGAGUGAAGAAGGUCUUCGGAUCGUAAAACUCUGUUAUUAGGGAAGAACAAAUGUGUAAGUAACUAUGCACGUCUUGACGGUACCUAAUCAGAAAGCCACGGCUAACUACGUG
Molecule: ribosomal RNA, 497 nt
Filed under: uncultured bacterium
Lineage: Bacteria
Description: partial 16S ribosomal RNA
Rfam family: Bacterial small subunit ribosomal RNA
Source: RNAcentral